This is a long non-coding RNA of Balaenoptera ricei (Rice's whale), 465 nucleotides long. RefSeq lists it as uncharacterized. The record is from RefSeq and is a predicted model, not a curated record. The transcript is spliced from 3 exons. Lineage: Eukaryota; Metazoa; Chordata; Mammalia; Artiodactyla; Balaenopteridae.
CAAUAAUAAAAAUAAAGUGUAGGUACCAGAGUGUGGACUUGAAGUAAGUGUGGAAGAAGGUGUGCCAAGGAAAGCAGAUUCCUCCUUUGCCUGAGAGCUUUGGAAAAUAAAUGGAAGCUGCUGUGACAAAACCUGAGGCUGCUUCUGCUGGGAUUGGAAUGAUGAGUGAGUCUGGGAUUCAGACACAAGAGGACCAUUUCGAUGACUUUUUCCCGAAGCCCUUGAAUGGAAUGAAGAAGAAUCAUGAUUCUGGGCUGGAGGAGCAAACAGUGGUGGAAUUCCCAGCAAUGGUGGAAAGAAGGUUGCCCCUGCACGCGUGUGAACAUCCGUUGUUCGCCACCAUUCUGCACCUCAAAGCCAAACACCAAACAAGCAAAAAUAUUUGAAUUAACUUUCUAGCUAAUUUCACAGUGCUUUUUAUAUUUUAUUCCUGAAAAAAAUUUCCAGUUUCAUCUUGGAACAGAA